Molecule: ribosomal RNA, 1342 nt
Filed under: Halomonas maura
Lineage: Bacteria; Pseudomonadati; Pseudomonadota; Gammaproteobacteria; Oceanospirillales; Halomonadaceae
Description: bacterial SSU rRNA
Rfam family: Bacterial small subunit ribosomal RNA
Source: RNAcentral
CGAUCCUAGCUUGCUAGGAGGCGUCGAGCGGCGGACGGGUGAGUAAUGCAUANGAAUCUGCCCGGUAGUGGGGGAUAACCUGAGGAAACUCAGGCUAAUACCGCAUACGCCCUACGGGGGAAAGCAGGGGAUCUUCGGACCUUGCGCUAUCGGAUGAGCCUAUGUCGGAUUAGCUUGUUGGUGAGGUAAUGGCUCACCAAGGCAACGAUCCGUAUCUGGUCUGAGAGGAUGAUCAGCCANAUCGGGACUGAGACACGGCCCGAACUCCUACGGGAGGCAGCAGUGGGGAAUAUUGGACAAUGGGCGAAAGCCUGAUCCAGCCAUGCCGCGUGUGUGAAGAANGCCUUCGGGUUGUAAAGCACUUUCAGCGAGGAAGAACGCUUGUGGGCUAAUACCCCGNANGAAAGACAUUAUUUGCANAAGAAGCACCGGCUAACUCCGUGCCAGCAGCCGCGGUAAUACGGAGGGUGCGAGCGUUAAUCGGAAUUACUGGGCGUAAAGCGCGCGUAGGCGGGUUGAUAAGCCGGUUGUGAAAGCCCCGGGCUCAACCUGGGAACGGCAUCCGGAACUGUCAGGCUAGAGUGCAGGAGAGGAAGGUAGAAUUCCCGGUGUAGCGGUGAAAUGCGUAGAGAUCGGGAGGAAUACCAGUGGCGAAGGCGGCCUUCUGGACUGACACUAACGAUGAGGUGCGAAAGCGUGGGUAGCAAACAGGAUUAGAUACCCUGGUAGUCCACGCCGUAAACGAUGUCGACUAGCCGUUGGGGUCCUUGAGACCUUUGUGGCGCAGUUAACGCGAUAAGUCGACCGCCUGGGGAGUACGNCCGCAAGGUUAAAACUCAAAUGAAUUGACGGGGGCCCGCACAAGCGGUGGAGNAUGUGGUUUAAUUGGAUGCAACGAGAAGAACCUUACCUACCCUUGACAUCGUGCGAACUUUCCAGAGAUGGAUUGGUGCCUUCGGGAACGCACAGACAGGUGCUGCAUGGCUGUCGUCAGCUCGUGUUGUGAAAUGUUGGGUUAAGUCCCGUAACGAGCGCAACCCUUGUCCCUAUUUGCCAGCGAUUCGGUCGGGAACUCUAGGGAGACUGCCGGUGACAAACCGGAGGAAGGUGGGGACGACGUCAAGUCAUCAUGGCCCUUACGGGUAGGGCUACACACGUGCUACAAUGGUCGGUACAAUGGGUUGCAAAGCCGCGAGGUGGAGCUAAUCCCAUAAAGCCGGUCUCAGUCCGGAUCGGAGUCUGCAACUCGACUCCGUGAAGUCGGAAUCGCUAGUAAUCGUGAAUCAGAAUGUCACGGUGAAUACGUUCCCGGGCCUUGUACACACCGCCCGUCACACCAUGG